AAAAACUACGGUGGUAGCAAAAGAUGUUUCCAGCAAAAAUAAUAUCAGAAGAACAAAUCUGGAGAAAGGUCGAUUGUAGCAAAAAAAAGCCAGUUCCAGCAAAAAAAUCACUGGUUCCAGCAAAAAGUUCUCCCCAGCAAAAACACUGCUAGUCGAUUGUAGCAACAGAAAAAGGCAGUUCCAGCAAAAUUUGAUGAUGGUUCCAGCAAAAUAAAAAUCUCAUCACCAAAUAUAUGUGUCGAUUGUAGCAAAGAAAAGAACUACUUCCAGCAAAAAUCGUUGUCGGAUGCAGCUCCUCGUCACCGCGGUUGCAGCUCCAUGAACCUGGGGUUGCAAGUCCUGUCGCCGCCGGGAGCAUCAAGUCGUGGCACCUCGUCGCAGAAGCGAGGCCCCCAGUUGCAUCCACCGCCUGUCUCCGCGCGUAUGCGCUGCUCCUCUGCACGCGGCGCCGAUGGUCGCCGAGGCCGGUGCCAGUGGUGGCCUUGUAGCACCCGUGGUAGUCGUCCCGCGUUGCCGCCGGUGACCGCAUCUGCAGCAGCCAAAAAGGUGGGUGGGGAGAAGAACGAGAGAGGAUAUGCAUCAUGCCAAGAGAGAAGGGAGUGGCUGAGAAAUCUCCCCGUGAAGAGAUAAGAUAAGGUCGAGGCAAAGUGGUGGGCAGUUACUAGAGCAAUAAGAACGGUUGAUUUUCAUCUGAUGUAACGACGCGCGCUCGGCCGGCCGAACUUUCAGCCGGCGUGCCGGUUUCAAAC
This 749-nucleotide ribosomal RNA is filed under the name Triticum aestivum (bread wheat). Its description in RNAcentral is "partial small subunit ribosomal RNA". The record is from RNAcentral. Lineage: Eukaryota; Viridiplantae; Streptophyta; Magnoliopsida; Poales; Poaceae.